UCAAAGGAGGUAGUCUGUGGUGUUUUGGCAGGUAGCCUUGUUCAGAUGUUCGUAGAGAUAUGAUAAGGAUGGACAAUACCAGGAUCUUUUGGCAGGAAAACUCCAGUGGGAAACUUUGGUGAGAACUUCUGGUGGAAAACUGACACAGAAGUUUUGGUAGGAAGCUUUUGGCAGGCAGAAACAAUGGCGAAACAUAACUUUUGGCAUUUGUAUGUUAUCUGUCUGUUACACAUGAGUAGACCUCUGGGUCUGCAAG
This is a long non-coding RNA of Chiroxiphia lanceolata (lance-tailed manakin), 256 nucleotides long. RefSeq lists it as uncharacterized. The transcript has 3 exons. The record is from RefSeq and is a predicted model, not a curated record. Lineage: Eukaryota; Metazoa; Chordata; Aves; Passeriformes; Pipridae.